AGGUGGGGAAGGAAGACAUUAUAAUGGAGGUGGGGAAGGAAGACAUUAUAAUGGAGGUGGGGAAGGAAGGUAUUAUAAAUGGAGGUGGAGAAGGAAGGCUUUAUAAAUGGAGGUGGGGAAGGAAGGCUUUAUAAAUGGAGGUGGGGAAGGAAGGUAUUAUAAAUGGAGGUGGAGAAGGAAGGCUUUAUAAAUGGAGGUGGGGAAGGAAGGCUUUAUAAAUGGAGGUGGGGAAGGAAGGUAUUAUAAUGGAGGUGGGGAAGGAAGAUAUUAUAAAUGGAGGUGGAGAAGGAAGAUAUUUUAUAGUAAACCUGUAGCAGUGUUUUCCUCCAACAGAGCUGCUCGUGGACACCAGACAUUUUAGAGAAUUAAAUCUGACAGUCUGUAUUCUACUGCUUCAUCAUCCUCCGACUCUGAAGAGCCAAAAUGAAACCGCGAGCAUUCAUAUUCAAGGGUUAGCGUAACUAACCCCUCUGAAUCUUUUCACAGAUAGUCAACAUAGAUUUGUUUUCCAUAGGCCGCCACAGGCCGAGACAACACAAACACACCCUCCC
Molecule: long non-coding RNA, 551 nt
Organism: Oncorhynchus keta (chum salmon)
Lineage: Eukaryota; Metazoa; Chordata; Actinopteri; Salmoniformes; Salmonidae
Exons: 3
Source: RefSeq, a predicted model, not a curated record